Molecule: long non-coding RNA, 277 nt
Organism: Monomorium pharaonis (pharaoh ant)
Lineage: Eukaryota; Metazoa; Arthropoda; Insecta; Hymenoptera; Formicidae
Exons: 2
Source: RefSeq, a predicted model, not a curated record
AAAUUGUUGUCAAAAUUGAAACAAUCCUUGCUGUAAAGCUUUCACGAUAUGUGAUUUUAACAGGCCUGGCUAACUGGGUAGUAGAUGUCGUUAUCGCCACUACCUCAUCAAGGUACUUACAAGAGCCGGAAUCACCGUUAUCGUUUAGGCACCUUUUUUGUGUGUUAUUUUAGUAUACUACAACUUUUUUUAUUGACUAUUAUUUUUUAUUAAAUAAAACAUUAAAAUAAACUUCAAAAGUGUACUAAUAUGAUAGAAAAACCCGAUCCCCAAAAAA